Molecule: ribosomal RNA, 466 nt
Filed under: uncultured bacterium
Lineage: Bacteria
Description: partial 16S ribosomal RNA
Rfam family: Bacterial small subunit ribosomal RNA
Source: RNAcentral
GAUGAACGCUGGCGGCGUGCCUAACACAUGCAAGUCGAGCGAUCUCUUCGGAGAGAGCGGCGGACGGGUGAGUAACGCGUGGGUAACCUGCCCUGUACACACGGAUAACAUACCGAAAGGUAUACUAAUACGGGAUAACAUACGAAAGUCGCAUGGCUUUUGUAUCAAAGCUCCGGCGGUACAGGAUGGGCCCGCGUCUGAUUAGCUAGUUGGUAAGGUAAUGGCUUACCAAGGCAACGAUCAGUAGCCGACCUGAGAGGGUGAUCGGCCACACUGGAACUGAGACACGGUCCAGACUCCUACGGGAGGCAGCAGUGGGGAAUAUUGCACAAUGGGCGAAAGCCUGAUGCAGCAACGCCGCGUGAGCGAUGAAGGCCUUCGGGUCGUAAAGCUCUGUCCUCAAGGAAGAUAAUGACGGUACUUGAGGAGGAAGCCCCGGCUAACUACGUGCCAGCCGCCGCCGUAA